UAUUGGAUAAAGAGAAUAUUAUUUCAUGAAAGUAAUAUUGCUUGUACCAAGUUGAUAACAGUAAAGAAAGAAAAGCUAUAAGAUGGGAGCCCCAUCAACAUCCUCAAUCGCCAAUCUUGGCAAGAGGCUUGAACUGUGUGUUGAGGUCCUCAGAGAUAUUUAUACGAGAGGACCUCUAUCAGUGGAGGACAUUGAUCUUGGGGAG
This 205-nucleotide long non-coding RNA is filed under the name Elaeis guineensis (African oil palm). RNAcentral describes it as "long non-coding RNA (EGUI_LNC020647)". Lineage: Eukaryota; Viridiplantae; Streptophyta; Magnoliopsida; Arecales; Arecaceae. The record is from RNAcentral.